This is a non-coding RNA of Pangasianodon gigas (Mekong giant catfish), 72 nucleotides long. NCBI's taxonomy places the organism in Eukaryota, Metazoa, Chordata, Actinopteri, Siluriformes, Pangasiidae. The record is from the annotation of a GenBank genome assembly.
UCCCUGAAGGACUAGUGGUUAGGCCUCAUCUUUCUCACCGCCUCGGCCCUGGAUUGAUUCCCGGCCAGGGAA